RNAcentral lists this non-coding RNA (26 nucleotides) under Mus musculus (house mouse). Lineage: Eukaryota; Metazoa; Chordata; Mammalia; Rodentia; Muridae. The record is from RNAcentral.
UAGAUGCUGUUUCCCUUUCGUUGACG